Molecule: ribosomal RNA, 252 nt
Filed under: uncultured bacterium
Lineage: Bacteria
Description: partial 16S ribosomal RNA
Rfam family: Bacterial small subunit ribosomal RNA
Source: RNAcentral
UACGGAGGGUGCAAGCGUUGCUCGGAAUUACUGGGCAUAAAGGGCGUGUAGGCGGUUUCGUAUGUCUGGCGUGAAAGCCCCGGGCUCACCUCGGGAAGUGCGUCGGAAACUGCGAGACUAGAGUCCCGGAGAGGGAGGUGGAAUUCCAGGUGUAGCGGUGAAAUGCGUAGAUAUCAGGAGGAACACCGGUGGCGAAGGCGGCUUUCUGGACAGUAACUGACGCUGAGGCGCGAAAGCUAGGGAGCAAACAGG